AGAGUUUGAUCCUGGCCCACCAAAUAAGGCUGGCGGCAUGGCUAACACAUGCAAGUCGAACGCGAAAGUUUCCUUCGGGAGACGAGUAGAGUGGCGAAAGGGCGAGGAAUACAUGGGUAACGUACCCUGGGCACGAGGAUAGCUGCGGGAAACUGCGGGUAAUACUCGAUGAGACCGUAGCAUCGCAUGUUGCAUCGGUCAAAGGGUGGGGAUCUCUCCGGAGACCUAUCGGCCUGGGAGCGGCCCAUGUCCUAUCAGCUUGUUGGUGAGGUAAUGGCUCACCAAGGCAUCGACGGGUAGCGGGACUGAGAGGUUGGCCCGCCGCAUUGGGACUGAGACACUGCCCAGACUCCUACGGGAGGCUGCAGUAACGGAUAUUGGACAAUGAACGAAAGUUUGAUCCAGCAAUGCCGCGUGCGGGAAGAAGCUCCUCGGAGUGUAAACCGCUGUCAGGGGCUAGCAAGCAAUGAAGGUUAAUAUCCUUCUGCGUUGAGCAACCCCAGAGGAAGUCACGGCUAACUUCGUGCCAGCAGCCGCGGUAAUACGAAGGUGGCAAGCGUUGUUCGGAAUCACUGGGCUUAAAGAGCACGUAGGCGGGCUAUCAAGCGUCUUGUGAAAUCCCUCGGCUCAACCGAGGAAUUGCUUGGCGAACUGGCAGCCUUGAGGCAGGUAGGGGCGAGUGGAACUCUUGGUGGAGCGGUGGAAUGCGUAGAUAUCAAGAGGAACGCCGGUGGCGAAGGCGACUCGCUGGGCCUGUCCUGACGCUGAGGUGCGAAAGCUAGGGUAGCGAACGGGAUUAGAUACCCCGGUAGUCCUAGCCCUAAACGAUGUCAACUAGGUCGAAGGGCUUCUGACAGAUUUUCGGCCGAAAUGAAAACGAUAAGUUGACCGCCUGGGGAGUACGGUCGCAAGGCUAAAACUCAAA
Molecule: ribosomal RNA, 925 nt
Filed under: uncultured Planctomycetota bacterium
Lineage: Bacteria; Pseudomonadati; Planctomycetota
Description: bacterial SSU rRNA
Rfam family: Bacterial small subunit ribosomal RNA
Source: RNAcentral